AAAGUCGUAACAAGGUUUCCGUAGGUGAACCUGCGGAAGGAUCAUUACUAAGAUAGUUGAUAUCUGAUGAAAGUCAGGUGUUGAUUUCUUGUGAACUGGGAUUAGUCGUGUUUUUUUGUGCUACUUGGCAACUUGUAGUAUGUGGGAACGUGACUGGUUCGUUACUUUAUAUCUUGUAUUUUGUUGUUUUAUGCAUUGAAUCUGGACUUUGUACGUAUGUGCAAGGAAAGGAGGAGAUGAAUAACCAAAGACAACUUUCAGCAAUGGAUCUCUUGGCUCUU
Molecule: unclassified non-coding RNA, 281 nt
Filed under: Basidiomycota sp.
Lineage: Eukaryota; Fungi; Basidiomycota
Description: partial contains small subunit ribosomal RNA, internal transcribed spacer 1, and 5.8S ribosomal RNA
Rfam family: Eukaryotic small subunit ribosomal RNA (bases 1-47)
Source: RNAcentral